This is a long non-coding RNA of Leopardus geoffroyi (Geoffroy's cat), 2908 nucleotides long. RefSeq lists it as uncharacterized. The transcript has 4 exons. The record is from RefSeq and is a predicted model, not a curated record. NCBI's taxonomy places the organism in Eukaryota, Metazoa, Chordata, Mammalia, Carnivora, Felidae.
CUGCCGGCCGACCCCGCGCCGGCCGAGCGAGCGCCAAGCGCUCAAGGGCCUGGGCAGAGGUCCCGGGAGCGCCGAGCCCCAGAGCCCUUUCCUCCCUUCCUCGGCCCUUCCCUGCGCCUUCCCUCCUCUCUGCCCUCUUUCCUUCCUCCCUCCCUUUCUUCCUGAACUUACUGAGCGCCUACUCUGGGCCAGCCACGGUUCCAGGCCCGGGUUGGGGGGGGGGGGGGGGGCGGGGCACAGGGGUGAACAACAGCCAGGCGCCAGGCCCUGGAGCCGGUGGUCCGCAGAGGGAGACAGACCUCACCCGUGCCAACACCUUGACAGACCAAGUCACAGAGAGCCACAAGGAGGACAGAGCGGAAGUGCUCAGAGACGUGGGAAUCCCCAAGGUCACGCAGCUCGCGCACACUGCUGGACACGGGGACACAGUGAUGGCGGAGACAGACAAGUACCCCUGCGCUGACGCAUAGAUACCGCAGUGCGACAGGUGUGUUUCCUUCUUCCGUUCAUCAAGUGUUUGCUGAGCACCUACUCUGUGCCUGGCUCCAGGCCCCAGGGAGACAGCAGGAAACAAACCAAUCUCCGGAAGGAUAAACGGGAAGAAGGUCUUCACAUGGGACAGUGACAGACAACCCACAGGAGGUCCGUCCGCAUGACCACGCCUCACCCAUCGAUGCAGUGAUGGUCCAUGGCCGUCCCCGGGGAAGUCCCCCCCAGUCCCCCAAGUGCUCUGGCCAGGGAGCAGCGUGGACCCUCCCUAGGGAAGAUGCUCCCAGUCCCCCAAGUGCCCUCCGGCCGGGGCGCAGUAUGGAUCGUCCCCGGUGAAGUCCCUCCCAGUCCCCCAAGUGUCCUCCAGCCGGGGGGCAGUGCGGACUGUCCCUGGUGAAGUCCCCCCCCCAGGCCCCCAAGUGCCCUGGCUGGGGCGCAGUGUGGACCAUCCCUAAGGAAGACCCUCCCAGUCCCCCAAGUGCCCCCACCCUGGGGCGCAGUGUGUCUGCAUUCGCAGGGCAAGGGCCGGGAGCAGCAGGCGCUGGCAGGCAGGUGGCCUGACGGGAGGCGCAGUCCUCUGCCAGCUGCCCAGCCCCCCCGCCCCCCGCAAGCACACGCCCCCACGGCCUGCAGUUCUGUUCUUCCACUGUCAGCCUGGCCGCCCGCCAGCUGCGUGCUCUGGGCCUCAGUCUCCCCGUCUGUGACGCGAGGGCAUAGAUAACAUGACAACUUCCCCAGGACAUGAGCCCCACGAGGUGCCCCCCAGAUGCUCACGUGCAGUUUGCGAUGUGGGGCUGGUCACGCCUCUCAGAGUCACGUGCUGUUUGCAUUUAACAACGUUGGGUUUUGACUAAUUCAGUUUCCCCCACCCCCCCCCAACUUUUUGACCCUGCGGUCCUUCCCUCCCGCUUUGCCUGCAUAACACCCAGAGAACACAGGCUGCUCUGGAAUUAUGUGCUGAGGACAGUGGAAGGAAGAAGGGAGAAUUUAUUCUGCCCGAGGUGUUGGCGAAGAGAAAAAUACAUUCAGGCGGGUGUUGAAUGACGAGCUGGGACCCAGACGAAGUAAAACAGACGGCAGCAUCUGCAAGGGACAAAAGACCAAGGUGCACGGUGCGCACGGGGAGGGACAAGCGGCCUGGCCACGCAGGACGGACUGUAAGACUUGGGGGGGAAGCCAGGCCGGUGCCUUCUUCCAAGGUGACAGAGACCCUUCCAGGGCUUUCAAGAGAAAGAGCGGCAUGAUCAGAUUUGUGUUUCAGAAUGGCAACACUGGCAGCUCCUGAGAGCCGGAGCUCGGGAGAGAGACCGGGCCAGCGGAGGUCAUGGUGUGGGUCCAGGUGAGAGACGGCAGGUUGUGAGCAGACGCGGUGGGGAGGAGGAAACGCAGGCGGGCCCCUCCCGUGCGAGGCGACACACGGAAUCCAAAGAGACUCAGAGGCGUCUGGGAGAACACUGAUGUCACUCCAUAGUUAGGGAACAAACUUGAAGCAGAUGGCUGCUCAACUCUGGACACGUUGUCUCCAGGGUGCCUGUGGGACAUCCUGGAGAUAUCAGCCAAGCGAGGGUAGGCUGCGCUGCCGUGAUAAAUGAACCCCAAAUCUCGGUGGGGAAACCCAAGAAAGGGGCACUGUAUUCAUUCACAAAGUCUGAUGCAGGUCAGGCGCGUCCUUUCCGACCUCUAUCUCCGCCCUCUGGAACCUCUAGCCUGCAAGGUCACUGUGGCAGAAGAGAGAGCCGGGGGACACACAGAAUAUUUCCUGGGGUUGGACCUGGAGGUCACCCCACUAUCACUCACAUCCCAUCGGCCAGAGCCCGGGUUCAUGGCCUGACCUUCCUGUAGGGAGGCUGGCAAAAGCAGGAGCCCAGGGACAUUUGGUGAGCCCUCCUCAUCACUGGCACGCUGGCAGGAAGGCUCUAGAGGCCUUUGGAAAUGGUGCCCGGGAGAGGAUCAGGGCUGGAGACAAGAUUUGGACAUGACUAUCGAAUGAGAUCACCCAAGGGGAAAAAAUAGAGGAGGACGAGAGAAAGACGAGAUUUUAAAAAUUCCAUGAAUCCCUCUGGGGUUGUAUUUAGGAAUCCCCAGAGGAAGACUCAAGAUACAGUCCAAAAUCUCAUUUCCAAAUAUCCAAUUAUUUGUUGUGUGGACAAAGCAUCCAGAUUCUUUCCUGAAUUUUUCAGUUCCCAUAUGGCUCUUUGGAAUCACACAGGCAGCCGCAAGCAGCUGGCAAGUGUCUUAAGCCGUGCUGUUUCCACCACAUUCCGCCACAUUCCCUGUGUCAGGCCAAGGGCUUCAGGGUCAUACAUUCGUCUAGAGGAGUUGUUUUUAGAGCCAUCCACUCACUAAAUAUUUUGAAAGAGAACUCACAGUAAGCUUGCCUUUGAGAUUCAUUCCAGAAAUGAAAUUUUUUGCUACCAAA